UGUCUGCUGAAUAAGAAUUUAGCUGUAGCUUUUUAGCUUAUAUAUAUUUAGAUUUUUAUUAUUUCUUUAAAAUGUUAAAGUAAAGUUCUAGAAGGAAUCUUUAAGGUUACCUUAUUGAUAGAAGUUAUAAGUAGCUAUUAGAAUUUUGAAUCACCAACUGAGAUACUGAUCAUCCUUAGGGGGGCCGACAAAAUACUGUUUAUAGUUGUAGAAGGUUUCUGAAAUUGACUUGAUUGAUUGAGGAUUUAUCUUGACACAACACGGAACUCCCCCCGCUCAACAGGAGGAUGAUCUCUGCCAACCAGGGUUGUCUGGGCCAAUGGGAAGCCACCAGAAUCAACAACAGACCCUCCUAAUGGACCCUCUCCAUGGUGGCAUGAAUCAGGAAACGCAUAGAGCGACAGGAAAUGCUCACUGCUUCAACAAGCAGGGCCAGGUUUAGGAGAGAGAGUCACACCCUGAUCUGUUUCACCUGCCUUGUGCUUGUCUCCACCCCCCACCAGUCCUCCAGGUUCCGACCAUUGCUGCCUGCCCUGACCUCGAGCCUGCCUGCCAUCAUGUACCAAUCAGACUCUGUCCCAGUUUACGAACUUCUGCCUGUCCUCGACCUGUCUCUUGCCUGAUCC
Oncorhynchus keta (chum salmon) is the source of this 626-nucleotide long non-coding RNA. RefSeq lists it as uncharacterized. NCBI's taxonomy places the organism in Eukaryota, Metazoa, Chordata, Actinopteri, Salmoniformes, Salmonidae. The record is from RefSeq and is a predicted model, not a curated record. The transcript is spliced from 3 exons.